GCUGGCGGCGUGCCUAAUACAUGCAAGUCGAACGCACUCUCGUUUAGAUUGAAGGAGCUUGCUCCUGAUUGAUAAACAUUUGAGUGAGUGGCGGACGGGUGAGUAACACGUGGGUAACCUGCCCUAAAGUGGGGGAUAACAUUUGGAAACAGAUGCUAAUACCGCAUAAAACCUAACACCGCAUGGUGUAGGGUUGAAAGAUGGUUUCGGCUAUCACUUUAGGAUGGACCCGCGGUGCAUUAGUUAGUUGGUGAGGUAAAGGCUCACCAAGACCGUGAUGCAUAGCCGACCUGAGAGGGUAAUCGGCCACACUGGGACUGAGACACGGCCCAGACUCCUACGGGAGGCAGCAGUAGGGAAUCUUCCACAAUGGACGAAAGUCUGAUGGAGCAACGCCGCGUGAGUGAAGAAGGUUUUCGGAUCGUAAAACUCUGUUGUUGGAGAAGAAUGUAUCUGAUAGUAACUGAUCAGGUAGUGACGGUAUCCAACCAGAAAGCCACGGCUAACUACGUGCCAGCAGCCGCGGUAAUACGUAGGUGGCAAGCGUUGUCCGGAUUUAUUGGGCGUAAAGCGAGCGCAGGCGGUUUCUUAAGUCUGAUGUGAAAGCCUUCGGCUCAACCGAAGAAGUGCAUCGGAAACUGGGAAACUUGAGUGCAGAAGAGGACAGUGGAACUCCAUGUGUAGCGGUGAAAUGCGUAGAUAUAUGGAAGCACACCAGUGGCGAAGGGCGGCUGUCUGGUCUGUAACUGACGCUGAGGCUCGAAAGCAUGGGUAGCAAACAGGAUUAGAUACCCUGGUAGUCCAUGCCGUAAACGAUGAGUGCUAGGUGUUGGAGGGUUUCCGCCCUUCAGUGCCGCAGCUAACGCAUUAAGCACUCCGCCUGGGGAGUACGACCGCAAGGUUGAAACUCAAAGGAAUUGACGGGGGCCCGCACAAGCGGUGGAGCAUGUGGUUUAAUUCGAAGCAACGCGAAGAACCUUACCAGGUCUUGACAUCCUUUGACCACUCUAGAGAUAGAGCUUUCCCUUCGGGGACAAAGUGACAGGUGGUGCAUGGUUGUCGUCAGCUCGUGUCGUGAGAUGUUGGGUUAAGUCCCGCAACGAGCGCAACCCUUAUUACUAGUUGCCAGCAUUUAGUUGGGCACUCUAGUGAGACUGCCGGUGACAAACCGGAGGAAGGUGGGGACGACGUCAAAUCAUCAUGCCCCUUAUGACCUGGGCUACACACGUGCUACAAUGGAUGGUACAACGAGUUGCGAGACCGCGAGGUUUAGCUAAUCUCUUAAAACCAUUCUCAGUUCGGAUUGUAGGCUGCAACUCGCCUACAUGAAGCCGGAAUCGCUAGUAAUCGCGGAUCAGCAUGCCGCGGUGAAUACG
This 1376-nucleotide ribosomal RNA is filed under the name uncultured Lactobacillus sp. RNAcentral describes it as "partial 16S ribosomal RNA". It matches the Rfam family "Bacterial small subunit ribosomal RNA", at positions 35 to 1370 of the family's 1533-position model. Lineage: Bacteria; Bacillati; Bacillota; Bacilli; Lactobacillales; Lactobacillaceae. The record is from RNAcentral.